CCCACGACAACACUCAAGCAAGAUGAGUCGCAACCGUCGGGUGGGUUUUGUGUCGGGUAAAGUGGGUGUGGUUUAUAUAGUAUUCGUUAGCCUCCGUCGAAAAGAAGAUCUAAGUUAACACAU
This is a non-coding RNA of Camelina sativa (false flax), 123 nucleotides long. The record is from RefSeq and is a predicted model, not a curated record. Lineage: Eukaryota; Viridiplantae; Streptophyta; Magnoliopsida; Brassicales; Brassicaceae.